Molecule: unclassified non-coding RNA, 265 nt
Filed under: Hevea brasiliensis (rubber tree)
Lineage: Eukaryota; Viridiplantae; Streptophyta; Magnoliopsida; Malpighiales; Euphorbiaceae
Source: RNAcentral
AUUUUCCUUCAGAACUCCAAAACCUAAACCUCUACGGGACCGUCUAGAACUCGAGCCGAAGCUCCUCCUUCUCCUUGUUGAGGAAGUGGAGAACGUAGGGGACGACGCGGAUGGUGGCGACGAACGCCACCAUCGUGUACACCUCCUUCUUCAGCUUCUUGAGAGCAGUGGACUUCUCAGGCUUCCGCGGCAUCGCCCCAAGAAACAUGAUCGCUGCGCUUCUCGUGCUCCGCCGGAAAAGGGGGGUUUUCUUCUUCGACGCCGG